Molecule: microRNA precursor, 83 nt
Filed under: Tursiops truncatus (common bottlenose dolphin)
Lineage: Eukaryota; Metazoa; Chordata; Mammalia; Artiodactyla; Delphinidae
Description: miRNA (ENSTTRG00000024562.1)
Source: RNAcentral
AGGGCGAACAACUAUGCUGGUUUGCCUGAGACUGAGACAGUUUUAAAACUGGCAAAGUCCUGGGCAAACUGGGGCGAGGUGGU